RNAcentral lists this ribosomal RNA (473 nucleotides) under uncultured bacterium. RNAcentral describes it as "bacterial SSU rRNA". It matches the Rfam family "Bacterial small subunit ribosomal RNA", at positions 38 to 507 of the family's 1533-position model. The record is from RNAcentral.
GGCGGCGUGCCUAACACAUGCAAGUCGAACGGAGAACUUAUGGAAUGCGACUUCGGUCAAAUGAAAUUGUCUUAGUGCGACGGGUGAGUAACGCGUGAGCAACCUGCCUCUGUAUUGAGGGAUAACGUUUGGAAACGGACGCUAAUACCUCAUGACACAACUGGGACGCAUGUUUUGGUUGUCAAAGAUUUAUUGUACAGAGAUGGGCUCGCGUCUGAUUACGGUAGUUGGUGAGGUUAACGGCCCACCAAGCCGACGAUCAGUAGCCGGACUGAGAGGUUGAACGGCCACAUUGGAACUGAGAUACGGUCCAGACUCCUACGGGAGGCAGCAGUGGGGAAUAUUGGGCAAUGGGGGAAACCCUGACCCAGCAACGCCGCGUGGAGGAAGAAGGUUUUCGGAUCGUAAACUCCUGUCCUCAGGGUAAGAGCAGAAGACGGUACCUGAGGAGGAAAGCCCCGGCUAACUACGUG